Molecule: ribosomal RNA, 253 nt
Filed under: uncultured bacterium
Lineage: Bacteria
Description: partial 16S ribosomal RNA
Rfam family: Bacterial small subunit ribosomal RNA
Source: RNAcentral
UACGUAGGUGGCAAGCGUUGUCCGGAUUUACUGGGCGUAAAGGAUGCGUAGGCGGACAUUUAAGUCAGAUGUGAAAUACCCGAGCUUAACUUGGGUGCUGCACUUGAAACUGGGUGUCUAGAGUGCAGGAGAGGUAAGUGGAAUUCCUAGUGUAGCGGUGAAAUGCGUAGAGAUUAGGAAGAACACCAGUGGCGAAGGCGACUUACUGGACUGUAACUGACGCUGAGGCGCGAAAGCUAGGGGAGCAAACGGG